Molecule: long non-coding RNA, 1876 nt
Filed under: Ananas comosus (pineapple)
Lineage: Eukaryota; Viridiplantae; Streptophyta; Magnoliopsida; Poales; Bromeliaceae
Description: long non-coding RNA (ACOM_LNC041787)
Source: RNAcentral
UUGAUAUAAUAAUUAGGAUUAAUUGCAUAUAAGUCUUUACAAAUUAAUGUAGAGAAUUGCAAAAGUAUUUCUACAAAAUUCAACAUUCAUAUGUUGUCUCUGCAAAAGUUCUGAUGUUUUCAAAUAUGUCUCUGCUGUUAGAAUCCGUUAGAAAAAUUUAGUUAACCAUAGGUUAAAUACUUAAAUUUGAUUAAUUAAUAAGUGUCUGCGACCACGAAUGACGUACCUCGCACGGUUAAUCAAAUUUUCUGUUUUUUGUGGGGUAGUAUUCAUGAUUCAGAUUAAUAUUUGAAUAUGUAUGGUUAUCAGGUAUUGUGGAUUCAUGGCUUCUAAUAAACGCAAGCGUUUAUUGUUAAUUACUCCUACAAAGUGUUGGGGCACCUUCGAUUAAAAGACCUCUGUAAUGCUGAAAUAGACUGAAAUUGAAUAAAAGGUGGAUUUUAUAACACAAUCCGUUGUAUAGUUACAUGGCUUAAUCAAGGGUAUACCCCCAGUGUACAUGAAUGUAACAUAAAAGAGAAAAUAAUUAGUUCAACGACGUGACGGUCGAUUGAACUGGGUUGCUCAAUUUAACGACAUGGCGGUCGAUUGGAAUUGAUUUGCUCAGUUUAACGACAUGGCGGUCGAUAAAAAUUGGAUUGCUCAGUUUAACGACAUGGCGGUCGAUUGUAAUUUGAUUUGCUCAGUUUAACGAUAUGGCGGUCGAUUGGGAUUUGGAUUUGCUCAGUUUAACGACAUGGCGGUCGAUUGGGAUUUGGAUUUGUUCAGUUUAACGACAUGGCAAUCGAUUGGGAUUUGAUUUGCUCAGUUUAAUGACAUGGUGGUCGAUUGGGUUUGAUUUGCUCAGUUUAACGACAUGGCGGUCGAUUGGGUUGAAAUUGGAUUGCUCAGUUUAACGACAUGGCGGUCGAUUGGAUUUGAUUUGCUCAGUUUAACGACAUGGCGGUCGAUUGGGUUUGAUUUGCUCAGUUUAACGACAUGGCGGUCGAUUGGAUUUGAUUUGCUUAGUUUAACGACAUGGCGGUCGAUUGGAUUUGAUUUGCUCAGUUUAACGACAUAGCGGUCGAUUAGAUUGGAAUUGGAUUGCUCAGUUUAACGACAUGGCGGUCGAUUGGAUUUGAUUUGCUCAGUUUAACGACAUGGCGAUCGAUUGGAUUUGAUUUGCUCAGUUUAACGACGUGGCGGUCGAUUGGGUUUGAUUUGCUCGACUUGGACUCACCUUCAGCUUAAAUUCUGAGUUUGGAGGACAUCAUGUAGGUGAAGGGCAAGUACACGAAAUGGACUUGACUUGGCAUACAUGAAUUUGAAGGUCUAAAUUCAAAAGUUUGAGUUUCAAGUUAAAAUUUUAGAUUUAAAUUUAAAAUUUAAGCUUGAGUUAGUUUUAUUUUGAAAUUGAAUUCUAAUUAAAGUUCUGAGUCUGAGGUUGAAUUUAAUUUUAAUUUUAAUUUUACCUUGAACUUACAUGGGAUUAAGUUUGGUUUGCAUUAAAAGUCUAUUUAAAUCUGCAUCUUAAAUUUGAGUUUAAAUUUAAAUUUUGGUUUGAUUUCAGUUUUAGAAAGAGAUUUGAAUUAUAAAAUUUAAUCUAAUAUUUAUGCUUUAGUCAGAUUUUAAAUUUGAUUAAAUUUUGAUUUGAAUUUUGAUAGUGGUUUAGUUUUAAAUUUGAAUUUGGAUUGCAAGAGUUUAGGAUAAGAUUUGAACAUUGAUUACAAAUUUUGAAUUUUGAAUUUUAGCUUUUCAUUUAGCUUUGCGUCUAGAUUUAAAUCUCAAUUUUAAGUUAUAUUGAAUUUAAUUUGAUUUUAUGAUUUUGGUUUAAUUUUGCCUAAAUUUUAAUUUUAGAUUGGAAGUUAGUUUAAAUUGAAUUUGAAUCCCUAAUUCA